RNAcentral lists this ribosomal RNA (397 nucleotides) under uncultured bacterium. Its description in RNAcentral is "partial 16S ribosomal RNA". It matches the Rfam family "Bacterial small subunit ribosomal RNA", at positions 523 to 918 of the family's 1533-position model. The record is from RNAcentral.
AUACGUAGGUGACAAGCGUUAUCCGGAUUUACUGGGCGUAAAGGGCGUGUAGGCGGUCUUGCAAGUCAGAAGUGAAAUUCCUGAGCUCAACUCGGGCGCUGCUUCUGAAACUGCAGGACUUGAGUGCUGGAGGGGAUAGCGGAAUUCCUAGUGGAGCGGUAAAAUGCGCAGAUAUUAGGAAGAACACCGGUGGCGAAGGCGGCCAUCUGGACAGUAACUGACGCUGAGGCGCGAAAGCUUGGGGAGCAAACAGGAUUAGAUACCCUGGUAGUCCACGCUGUAAACGAUGAAUACUAGGUGUAGGGGGUAUCGACUCCCUCUGUGCCGCAGUUAACACAAUAAGUAUUCCGCCUGGGGAGUACGGCCGCAAGGUUGAAACUCAAAUGAAUUGACGGGG